RNAcentral lists this long non-coding RNA (891 nucleotides) under Rattus norvegicus (Norway rat). Its description in RNAcentral is "long non-coding RNA NONRATT027779". The stretch from base 805 to 867 matches the Rfam family "tRNA". The record is from RNAcentral. Lineage: Eukaryota; Metazoa; Chordata; Mammalia; Rodentia; Muridae.
CGGAACAUCGGAACAUCGGAAAGCGGUAGAGCUCUCCAGCAGUAACCACCACCCACUCACUCCUGCUCUCCUGCCUCCCCCGCAGCUCCUCUCAGCAGCUUUGGUUGCUAGGCAACUCAUGCUAGGAAGUCUGAAGAUGAUAAAAAUCUGUGGCUCUCCAUACCCACUUGUCUGACAACUGCAGCUUGUCCCUGGCAGGCGCACUGUGGUUGGAAGCCUCUGUUCUUUGCAUCACACACAAACACACACACACACACACACACACACACAUACACACACGCCCCCGUGCGUGCACACACACACGCGCACACACGCAUGCAUGCAUGCACACGCACUCACGUGCACCCAUAUACUCAUACACCUCCCAGGCACUAAUGCGUGGGGGAAGGGCUCCUGUGGAGGCGCUGUACAGAGGCCUUCUUGGCAUGCACUGAACAAAUCCCAUGCAAGGCCACUCAGAACCUUAAACCUCAGAGGCAGAUAGGCAUCUCACUGGCCAGCUCUCGGGACAAGCCCCAAGGACAAGGGGCAUGUCGGAUGCCCAGCAGAGUAAUUUAUGCCUUAACCCUUUGUUGAGAUGGAAAUCGUCAGAUCAAUGUUCCCUUGUCAUCUGUUUCAUCUGAACAAUGUCAUCUGUUCCCCUGUGCAGUACGACCUUUACUGUCAGAAAUAUAUUUAAGAAAAUGUUCUAAAAGGUAUUUUAAAACAACCAACAACAGACAUUCCACUCUGUGACAAAGCAAGGCUGCAUUCUGUGACAAAGCAAGGCUGCAUUCUGUUUUAAAGAGGAAAGGGAGGGGGGUUGGGGAUUUGGCUCAGUGGUAGAGCGCUUGCCUAGCAAGCGCAAGGCCCUGGGUUCAGUCCCCAGCUCCGAAAAAAAAGAAGAAAAAA